RNAcentral lists this unclassified non-coding RNA (232 nucleotides) under Hevea brasiliensis (rubber tree). The record is from RNAcentral. Lineage: Eukaryota; Viridiplantae; Streptophyta; Magnoliopsida; Malpighiales; Euphorbiaceae.
UAGGCUCUAUCAAAAGGGUAUUGCUUGGGAGUGUGAGCAACUAUGUGGUGAAAAAUGCUUCAUGUCCAGUUACUGUGGUGAAAGGGAAACCAUUGGCAUUGCCAGACUCCAAAUCUUAAUUCUUAAAUCCAUUUGAUCCUUUCUUCUUCAUUUGUACACAAAGCAAAGCAAUUAUACUUGGGUGUUUUUUUGUUGAAUGUACAAAGAUUUUGUGUUGAUUUAGCAUAUGUGG